AGAGUUUGAUCCUGGCUCAGGAUGAACGCUAGCGACAGGCUUAACACAUGCAAGUCGAGGGGCAGCGGGGGAGUAGCAAUACUCCCGCCGGCGACCGGCGCACGGGUGAGUAACACGUAUGAAACCUGCCCGUAGCAGGGGGAUAAGCGGAAGAAAUUCCGUCUAAUACCGCGUAACAACCCUUGGAGGCAUCUCCUCGGGUUUAAAGGGAGCGAUUCCGGCUACGGAUGGUCAUGCGUCGCAUUAGCUUGUUGGCGGGGUAACGGCCCACCAAGGCGACGAUGCGUAGGGGUUCUGAGAGGAAGGUCCCCCACACUGGUACUGAGACACGGACCAGACUCCUACGGGAGGCAGCAGUGAGGAAUAUUGGUCAAUGGCCGCAGGGCUGAACCAGCCAAGUCGCGUGAGGGAUGACGGUCCUAUGGAUUGUAAACCUCUUUUGUCAGGGAGCAAAGGGCGCCACGUGUGGCGUUUUGCGAGUACCUGAAUAAAAAGGAUCGGCUAACUCCGUGCCAGCA
RNAcentral lists this ribosomal RNA (518 nucleotides) under uncultured bacterium. Its description in RNAcentral is "bacterial SSU rRNA". It matches the Rfam family "Bacterial small subunit ribosomal RNA", at positions 8 to 513 of the family's 1533-position model. The record is from RNAcentral.